This 37-nucleotide transfer RNA is filed under the name Engraulis anchoita (Argentine anchovy). Its description in RNAcentral is "partial tRNA-Glu". Lineage: Eukaryota; Metazoa; Chordata; Actinopteri; Clupeiformes; Engraulidae. The record is from RNAcentral.
AAAAACCACCGUUGUUAUUCAACUAUAGAAACCCCUA